This 402-nucleotide ribosomal RNA is filed under the name uncultured bacterium. RNAcentral's name for it is "bacterial SSU rRNA". It matches the Rfam family "Bacterial small subunit ribosomal RNA", at positions 917 to 1322 of the family's 1533-position model. The record is from RNAcentral.
GGGCCCGCACAAGCGGUGGAGCAUGUGGUUUAAUUCGAUGAUACGCGAGGAACCUUACCAGGGCUUAAAUGUAGAUUGACAGGUUUAGAGAUAGACUUUUCUUCGGACAAUUUACAAGGUGCUGCAUGGUUGUCGUCAGCUCGUGCCGUGAGGUGUCAGGUUAAGUCCUAUAACGAGCGCAACCCCUGUUGUUAGUUGCCAGCGAUUCAAGUCGGGAACUCUAACAAGACUGCCGGUGCAAACCGUGAGGAAGGUGGGGAUGACGUCAAAUCAUCACGGCCCUUACGUCCUGGGCUACACACGUGCUACAAUGGUAGGGACAGAGAGCAGCCACUUCGCGAGAAGGAGCGAAUCUAUAAAAGAUACCUCAGUUCGGAUUGCACUCUGCAACUCGAGUGCAUG